This 253-nucleotide ribosomal RNA is filed under the name uncultured bacterium. RNAcentral's name for it is "partial 16S ribosomal RNA". It matches the Rfam family "Bacterial small subunit ribosomal RNA", at positions 524 to 776 of the family's 1533-position model. The record is from RNAcentral.
UACGAAGGGUGCAAGCGUUACUCGGAAUCACUGGGCGUAAAGCGUGCGUAGGCGGUUCGUUAAGUCUGUUGUGAAAUCCUCCGGCUCAACCGGAGAACUGCCAUGGAUACUGGGUGUCUCGAGGGUGGUAGGGGUAUGCGGAACUAUCGGUGGAGCGGUGAAAUGCGUUGAUAUCGAUAGGAACUCCGGUGGCGAAGGCGGCAUACUGGACCGCUUCUGACGCUGAGGCGCGAAAGCCAGGGGAGCAAACGGG